CCCCCGCAGCAAGGCGCUGCCGGACCGGGCGGUGGUGAACUGCCAGUACAGCGUGGCCACCUUCAGCACCAGCGAGCGCCAGCGCCGGCCCCACGGCGACCGCAAGGCCAGCGAGAUGUCCCUGCACCUCAAGCAGACCUUCGAGGCCGCCAUCCUCACACAGCUCUUCCCACGCUCCCAGAUCGACAUCUACGUGCAGGUGGGGACGGGGACGGGGACACGGGGACGGGGAUAUGGGGACAGGACAGGGACAUGGGGACGGAGACAUGGGGAUGGGAACAGGAUGGGGACAUGGGGACGGGAUGGGGACAGGGACCAGACAGGGCAUUCGUGCUGUGUGGGACAUGGGGACAGGAUGGGGACUUGGGGACGGGAUGGGGACGUGGGGAUGGGGACAUGGGGACGGGAUGGGGACAUGGGGAUGGGGACAGGGGGGGGGGGGGGGGGGGGGCGGGGAGGGGGGGGGGGGACAGUUCCUCAAUGGGGGAUGAGGAUGGGGAGGGGAUAGAAAGGGACGGAAAAAGGGAAGGGGAAAGGGAAAGGAAAAUUAAAAGGAAGGAAGGGAAGGGAAAGGAGAAAGGAAAGGGGAAAGGGAAAAGGAAAGGGGAAAGAGAAGAAAAAAGGGAGGGGAAGGGAAAGGCAAGGCAAGGAAAAGAAACAAAAGGAAAAAGGGAAGGGAAAGGAAAGGAAAGGAAAAAGGGAAGGGAAAAAGAAGGAAAGGGAAAGGAAAAAGAAGAAAAGGAAGGGAAGGGAAAGGAAAUGAAAGGAAAACGGGAAGGGCAAGGCAAGGAAAAGAAACAAAAGGAAAAAAGGAAAGGAAAGGAGAAAGAGAAGGAAAAAGAGAAGGGAAAAAAGAAGGAAAGUGGAAGGAAGGGAAGGGAAAGGAAAGGGAAACAGAAAGGAAAGGAAGGGAAGGGAAAAGGGAACGAAAAAGGGAGGGAAAGGAAAGAGGAAAUGGGAAGGGAAGGGGAAAGAGAAGGGAAAAAGAAGGGAAGGGAAAGGAAGGGAAGAGAUGGGAAGGGAAAGGAAAGAGAAGGAAAGGAAAAGGGAAAAGAAACA
This 1059-nucleotide long non-coding RNA is filed under the name Anas platyrhynchos platyrhynchos (common mallard). RNAcentral describes it as "lncRNA (ENSAPLG00000019015.1)". Lineage: Eukaryota; Metazoa; Chordata; Aves; Anseriformes; Anatidae. The record is from RNAcentral.